This is a long non-coding RNA of Canis lupus familiaris (dog), 274 nucleotides long. RefSeq lists it as uncharacterized. The transcript has 3 exons. The record is from RefSeq and is a predicted model, not a curated record. NCBI's taxonomy places the organism in Eukaryota, Metazoa, Chordata, Mammalia, Carnivora, Canidae.
UGGCAUUCUUGAAGAACAGUAGGGCCGGUGUGGCUUAACAGAAGGCCAAAGCAACGAGAAGAGUAUAAACUGUCCGGGUCCAGAUGAACACCCGAUGAACAACCCCUCUCAUCCUCUCAGAUACAGAAACAAAGACAAUGAAGUAGGAUUCCAAUACAUAGCUUUUCCAUAGUAUAUAUAACCAGCUCCUACUGAUGAACCUCUGUUUCCAAACUACUGCUAUCAUGACAAGGCUGCAGUGAAUAUCUAUGCACAUUCGUCAUUUUGUACAUUU